Molecule: ribosomal RNA, 315 nt
Filed under: uncultured eukaryote
Lineage: Eukaryota
Description: partial 18S ribosomal RNA
Rfam family: Eukaryotic small subunit ribosomal RNA
Source: RNAcentral
CCCUUAGACGUUCUGGGCCGCACGCGCGCUACACUGACCAGUGCAACAAGCAUCCGUCCUUGGCCGACAGGCCCGGGCAAUCUUUGAACGCUGGUCGUGAUGGGGAAAGACUUUUGCAAUUUUUGGUCUUCAACGAGGAAUUCCUAGUAAACGCAAGUCAUCAACUUGCAUUGAUUACGUCCCUGCCCUUUGUACACACCGCCCGUCGCACCUACCGAUUGAAUGGUCCGGUGAAGCCUCCGGAUUGGCGCGCACCUCGGUGCCGCCGAGAAGUUGGCUAAACCUUACCAUUUAGAGGAAGGUGAAGUCGUAACA